GUCUAAACUUGACUGGUACUUUAUAUGCAAAAAACCCCCACUUGUACAUGUCUGAAAUAGGACAAAUUUAAGCACCCACUUAAUUAGCACUAUACAGUACAUACCAGGGACAUAAUCAAAAUUUGUGAUGGUGGAUCAAUUCAAGGGACAAAUUCCAAGGAGAUAUAGCCAUAAUCUAGUUGAAUUGCAUCAGCUUUUUUGUUUGUUCCUAAUCAAGCACAAAUUCCGAACCGUAAAAUGCCUCUCCAGUCCUCGAGAAGACAUUGUUUCUCUGAAUGCUUCGAAACACCAGGGAUCCUAAUCAUUUUGCCACAGUUGUAAUAUGACUCUGAUUGGAGUCAUUUGGAAAAAAAUGGGCUGCCUGGGGGCUGCCUCUGUAGAAUUCGCCCUGCUGAUAAUUGCCCCGGUCUGUAAUUUCCCAGCAUUGAGAUUGGUGUGUGUGUGGAUCCUAAUGAUCAGAGGUGUUCAUCCACUCAUCCCAGUUAGAGGUAUUUCUCUCAUGGAACAUCUGAGCGCUUCCUUGCAAAGCCAGAAAGUCACAGCUGAAGAGUUUUCUUCCAUUGGCUCGAAAGUGGAUACUGGUCGAUAAGUGCUCACAUGAUCAUUCAUUGAACGGUCAAUCAGGGGCCGUGUCCAAAUAAACGGUCUACAGACAGUAUGGGUGGCUGAACGGCGUUCGCGCUUGUUGUAUACAUCACCUUGUUGUUGUCCGACUGGCCAGAGUAGCCCGGAGCUCCCCCAUCUGACAGCGGAGUCGAAGGAGCACAGCAAGAGGAGCAUGGCAAUCAACGAUCGUCGCAUGUCACAAGCCGUGGAAGCCGAAGACAGCGGCCUCCAGCAACGCAGUCUACAGUCCCAACGAGAGGCCCGGAGCGGAUACCAACAACCAAUAGUUUCUCAGUCCUGAUGCCUGUUCUUCCUGCACCUUCGCCGCUGGGGGUACCUGUAUCUGCGGCCACUGUGCCUACUCCUAAGAUUUCGAAGUCGACAUUGGCAACCUGCUCUGGAUCGAGCGGUGCUUCUACAUCUCCAAAUUGAUUCUAUCAUAGUCCAUGUGGGUUUUAAUGACAUUAUGAAGGGCAGCUCUGAACAGUUGAAACUGGAUUUUAAAAGAGCUGAUUGACUCUCUGCUAGACACUAAUAAAAUACCCGUCUUAUCUGGCCCUGUGCCCUCUCAAUCGUGGCAUUGAACACUUUAGCAAGAUUCUCUCUUCACAUCUGGUUACAUGAUUAAUGCAGCCCAAUGGGUGUAGCUUUUGUGGACAAUUUCGAUACCUUUUGGAAACUAAAACAUGCUUUAUAAGGAGGAUGGGAUCCAUCCAAAACACUUGGGUUUCCUAGAUCCUUUCACAGCAUUAUAAGGCUGCGUUGAGACAAUGACUUAAGCCCAGCUCAGUUAAUCCCUACCAUUGUGAUGCUGAGUUGUCAUAAUUCUUCAGCAAAUGUACAUUAUACCAGGGGUUUUGGUAGACAAUGCAAGUAACCUAAUUUAAGUUCCUCUAAGUUCCCUGAAUGCCUCUGCUGAUCGUACAGCUAUUGUAUGCAGUAAUCAUGUGCCUAUGAACCAGUUUUAUACUGUUAGCACUGAGGCGGUGUGCCCUAGUAGGAAGUCCACUGUGUGCAGCUCACCCUGCACUAACAUAAAUAACAUGAGCAUAUCUACUUCUGCUAAGCUUCCCAGUAAAGCAAUCAAUCAAAACAAGCAUCCCAGAAGGUGCUCAAAAUAGCCCACGUUAACAUAUGUAGCUUAAGAAACAAGUUCCAUGAAAUCAAUAAUUUGCUAGUACCAGAUGACAUUCAUAUUAUCUCUGAAACUCACUUAUAUAGAUAAUACCUUCGAUACAGUGGUUGCAAUACAAGGUUAUAACAUUUACAGAAAAGACAGAAAUGCCAAUGGUGGAGGUGUUGUUGUUUAUAUUCCCGAACCACAUUCCUGUAAAGAUUAGAGACGAUCUCAUGUUAAAUACUGUUGAAGUAAUAUGGUUACAGGUUCAUCUGCCUCACCUAAAGUUCAUUCUUGUGGGAAGCUGCUAUAGACCAAAGUGCUAAGUCAGUAUCUGGAUAACAUAUGUGAAAUGCUUGAUAAUGUGUGUGAUAUCAACAGAGGUAUAUUUUCUGGGUGGCUUAAAUAUUGACUGGCUUUCAUCAAGCUGACCACUCAAGAAAAAGCUUAAAACUGUAACCAGUGCCUGGUUCAGGUUCUCAGUCAACCUACCAGAGUAGUUACAAACAGCACAGGAAUGAAAUCAACAUGUACUGAUCACAUCUUUAAUGCUGCAGAAAUUUGCUUGAAAGCAGUAUCCAGAUCCAUCGGAUGUAGUGAUCACAAUAUAGUAGCCAUAUCUAGGAAAACCAAAAGUUCCAAAGACUGGGCCUAACAUAUUGUAUAAGAGGCCAUACAAUAUGAUUUGUAGUGAUUCCUAUGUUGUUGAUGUAAAGAAUAUUUGUUGGUCCGUGGUGUGUAAUGAGGAACAAACAGACACUGCACUUGACACAUUUAUGAAACUGCUUAUUCCAGUUACUAUUAAGCAUGCACCCAUUAAGAAAAUGACUGCAAAAACUUAAAUCCCAGUGGAUUGAUGAGGAAUUUAAAAAAUGUUAUGGUUGAGAGGGAUGAGGCAAAAGGAAUGGCAAAUAGAUCUGGCUGCACAACCGAUUGGCAAACGUAUUGCAAAUUGAGAAAUCAUGUGGCUAAACUGAAUAAAAAGAAGAAGAAACUACACUAUGAAACAAAGAAAUGACAAAGAAUGACAGUAAAAAGCUUUGGAGCACCUUAAAUGAAACGUUGGGAAAAAAGGCAAACUUGGCUCCAUCCUUCAUUGAAUCAGAUGGCUCAUUCAUCACAAAACCAACUGAUUACGUUAACUACUUUAAUCAUUUUUUUAAUUGGUAAGAUUAGCAAACUUAGGCAUGACAUGGCAGCAACCAACGCUGACACUACACAUCCAAGUAUAUCUGACCAAAUUAUGAAAGACAAGCAACGUAAUUUUGAAUUCCGUAAAGUGAGUGUGGCAGAGGUGGAAAAUGAUUUUGUCUAUCAACAAUGGACAAGCCACCAGGGUCUGACAACUUGGAUGGAAAAUUACUGAGGAUAAUAGCAAAGUGUGUGCUCCCAGGCUUGGAGGGAAGCAAAAGUAAUUCCGCUACCUAAGAAUAGUAAAGCCCCCUUUACUGGCUCAAAUAGCCGACCAAUCAUCCUGUUACCAACCCUUAGUAAACUUGGGGGGAAAAAAUAGUUUGACCAGAUACAAUGCUUUUUUACAGUAAACAAAUUGACAACAGACUUUCAGCAAGCUUAUAGGGAAGGAUAUUCAACAAGCACAGCACUUUCAAAAAUGACUGAUGAUUGGCUGAGAGAAAUUGAUAAAAAGAUUGUGGGGGCUGUCUUGUUAAGACUUCAGUGCAGCUUUUGACAUUAUCAAUCAUAGUCUGCUGCUGGAAACACUUGUGUUAUGGCUUUACACCCCCUGCUAUAUUGUGGAUAAAGAGUUACUUGUCUAACAGAACAGAGGGUGUUCUUUAACGGAAGCUUUUCCAAAAUAAUCCAGGUAGAAUCAGGAAUUCCCCAGGCAGCUGUCUAGGCCCCUUACUUUUUUCAAUCUUCACUAAUGACAUGCCACUGGGUUUGAGUAAAGCCAGUGUCUACGAAUGCAGAUGACAACACUAUACGUCAGCUACUACAGUGACUGAAAUGACGGCAACACUUAACAAAGAGCUGCAGUUCAUUUCAGAGUGGGUGGCAAGGAAUAAAUUAGACCUACAUAUUUCUUAAUCUAAAAGUAUUCUAUUUGGGACAAAUCAUUCACUAAACCUCAACUAAAUCUUGUAAUAAAUAACGUGGAAAUAGAGAAAGUUGAGGUGACUAAACUUCUUGGAGUAACCCUGGAUUGUAAACUGUCAUGGUCAAAAGAUAUCAAUACAACAGUAGCUAAGAUGGGGAGAAGUCUGUCCAUAAUAAAGCGCUGCUCUACCUUAACAGCACUAUCAUCAAGGCAGGUCCUACAGGCCCUAGUUUUGUUACACCUGGACUACUGUUCAGUCGUUUGGUCCAUCUCUCCUGGCUCAAAGUGGAGGAGAGAUUGACUUCAACACUACUUGUAGUUAUGAGAGGUAUUGGCAUGUUGAAUGCGCCGAGCUGUCUUUUUGAACUGCUGGAGCACAACUUGGACACCCAUGCAUACCCUAAAAAGACAUGCCAUCAGAGGUCUCUUCACAGUACCCAAGUCCAGAACAGACUAUGGGAGGCGCACAGUACUACAUAGAUCCAUGACUACAUGGAACUCUAUUCCACAUCAAGUAACUGUUUUAUGGAACAGCGGGGACUGUGAAGCAACGAACACAUGCAUACACACACGAUAAUAUAUGCACUAUAUUGUAAUGUUUUAAAAAUUGUAUAGCUGCCUUCAUUUAACUGGACCCCAUGAAGAGUAGCUGCGAUCCAUAAUAAAUACAAAUUACACUUGCAGUAUGAUCUGUUUUCAAAGCAGAGCCAAAUCCUCUAGUUAAAUAGUGGACCUUCAUGGUCAUGGCUUGCUAAGACUCCAAACAGGCUUGCAACCGCAGGGCCAGCCUGGGGACCUUGUAUAAUUGACCGGGCUGGAAAGGGACUGGAUGGGGACGUUAAUAAAAUUGAGCCAAUAUAUUCACAAGUCGGUGUAAGAUCGUUCACAUGACAGAAAACCAAAAUAAACAGUCCUAGGAGCAAAAACAGGUUCAAAUCAGAGUGACUGAUAACCAUAUACUGUACUUCAUUGAAACGGAAGAAUAAGAUGAGAGAAAGUUAAAUAUCAGGAGGGCAACUCAAAUGAAGGAGGAGUGCUGAAGGGCUAGAGUGAGUCACUGCUGGAAACUUUGAUUGGAUCAUAUACGUUGACAUACAUUUAGAAAACGCAAUCCUUCUGGGGAACUGGAGAGUGCACGCUCUCGUGUUUGUCAACAUCAGCACCUCUACAUGUUGGGUUGGGGAGUCUAACUUAUGUAAGGGGGUGAUAGAGGACAUGCAUGCUGGUUGGGGUACCAUUUUUGCACACAACAUGACAGUGCAAUUUGGUAGUUCAGGGGGAACAACAGUCCCUCUGGUGAGGAUGAGAGAAAUCGGGGUGUGGAACAAAAGGUUCCCAUGUGGCUCAGUUGGUAGAGCAUGGCACUUGCAAUGCCAGAGUUGUGGGUUCGAUUCCCACGGGGGACCAGUAUGAAAAAAGUAUGAAAAUGUAUGCGCUCUCGAUAAGUACGUAUGCUAAAUUACAAAAUAAAAAAAUAAAAAGGUAAAGCGUCGUCGCUUUGCUGCUACUGCUUCUCAGAGUAGAGACCCCUGAACAUAUAUUUAUACAAUCCCCACUACGCCUCAUCUCUUAGCCACGUCCUGUCCCCACCCUCCUCUUCUCCAGUCUAGCUGUGCCUGACAAAGGGAUGUGCUACGUGCAUUCUGCCACCGUGCUGCGUUGAGGAAGAGGUCGCUUCAUCUCUUCUCCCCUAAAAAAAAUAAACAAUUUCGUUGGCAGUAAUAGCCCCGGUUGUGUGUGCUCAACCAGCCCCCGCGGCCGAGGAGGAGACUGUGGGAAGCUUGAGCGUUGUCCCCUCUCCCCUCCCUCCUGCCACAAGGACCCGGGCUCUCUCGCUUUCUGCUUGGUUAUGCAAUGCACGUCUCUCCCACGGCUUGCACAGGGGACCCGCCACAACACAGCCGCCACCAGCUGCAGGUACAGACCAACAUAGCAACAGCUACGCAGCAGCACUCAGGCUUUCCAGCUCUCUGGGAUUUUACUGUUCUACCUGGCUCUUUGGAAUACCACUUGCUGAGCGGUGAGCUGUCUGUAGUAGCCGCCACAAGCGCUAGCGUCUCCAGAGUAACCAAGCGCGGCUGUGCCUCCGGGUUUCAGCGGCAGGCGAGAGAGAGGCGCCUCUGAAAGGCACUAAUUGCUCUGCUCCCGAAGGUGGGAAGCAAGAAAGGAGGAGAGAAGAGGGGGCGUGUACAUUUGUCACAGAGACUGUGGCGCUCGCUCUUUGAGCUGCUAAGAGGGUCAAAAAGACAAGAAGAGCUGAGGAGGAGGAAGAGGGGGGCUGUGGUGGAAUUUGGAAUUGGAAAAGAGAGGGGCGGGAGGAUGGGGAUCGUAGUGGGGAGGGAGGGGGAGCGUAUGGGGAGAGGGUUUCUCCAAGCCCCCUAGUGCUUCAGUUUUGGUGGAGGAGACCUGAGGAAUAAAACAAAAGCAAAAAACGGAGACUAUAGCGCAACCAACACCAAGACAGCAUUUAACCCAGGGGGUGGCGCAGAGGACUGGAGAAUUCAUACGGCAAGAAGGGGGUGAUUUUUCACAGAGAGCAGUGUCUGCGCAGAGCCACGCACCAAGGCGCAGUUGGGAGCCAGGAUCUCCUUUCCCUUUUCAUUCCUUCUCUCCGACGCUGGGAGCGAGGCUACGCAGCCAGCCUCUCCUGCUUCCCCCUAAUGCAGGCUCCCGUGUGUGGCCAUGCUUCUCCGCUCAGGACCCAAAAGCAUGCUGGAUGUCACCCCACUCUUCACGCCGUAGGGUAAGAAACCUUUUUCACCCAUCUUUCAUCAGCUCUCCUCCGCCCUCU
This 6573-nucleotide transfer RNA is filed under the name Salmo salar (Atlantic salmon). Its description in RNAcentral is "lncRNA (ENSSSAG00000092815.1, ENSSSAG00000094828.1)". The stretch from base 5116 to 5187 matches the Rfam family "tRNA". The record is from RNAcentral. Lineage: Eukaryota; Metazoa; Chordata; Actinopteri; Salmoniformes; Salmonidae.